AAAUUGAAGAGUUUGAUCAUGGCUCAGAUUGAACGCUGGCGGCAGGCCUAACACAUGCAAGUCGAGCGGUAGCACAGAGAGCUUGCUCUCGGGUGACGAGCGGCGGACGGGUGAGUAAUGUCUGGGAAACUGCCUGAUGGAGGGGGAUAACUACUGGAAACGGUAGCUAAUACCGCAUAAUGUCGCAAGACCAAAGUGGGGACCUUCGGGCCUCAUGCCAUCAGAUGUGCCCAGAUGGGAUUAGCUAGUAGGUGGGGUAACGGCUCACCUAGGCGACGAUCCCUAGCUGGUCUGAGAGGAUGACCAGCCACACUGGAACUGAGACACGGUCCAGACUCCUACGGGAGGCAGCAGUGGGGAAUAUUGCACAAUGGGCGCAAGCCUGAUGCAGCCAUGCCGCGUGUGUGAAGAAGGCCUUCGGGUUGUAAAGCACUUUCAGCGGGGAGGAAGGCGUUAAGGUUAAUAACCUUGGCGAUUGACGUUACCCGCAGAAGAAGCACCGGCUAACUCCGUGCCAGCAGCCGCGGUAAUACGGAGGGUGCAAGCGUUAAUCGGAAUUACUGGGCGUAAAGCGCACGCAGGCGGUCUGUCAAGUCGGAUGUGAAAUCCCCGGGCUCAACCUGGGAACUGCAUUCGAAACUGGCAGGCUAGAGUCUUGUAGAGGGGGGUAGAAUUCCAGGUGUAGCGGUGAAAUGCGUAGAGAUCUGGAGGAAUACCGGUGGCGAAGGCGGCCCCCUGGACAAAGACUGACGCUCAGGUGCGAAAGCGUGGGGAGCAAACAGGAUUAGAUACCCUGGUAGUCCACGCCGUAAACGAUGUCGAUUUGGAGGUUGUGCCCUUGAGGCGUGGCUUCCGGAGCUAACGCGUUAAAUCGACCGCCUGGGGAGUACGGCCGCAAGGUUAAAACUCAAAUGAAUUGACGGGGGCCCGCACAAGCGGUGGAGCAUGUGGUUUAAUUCGAUGCAACGCGAAGAACCUUACCUGGUCUUGACAUCCACAGAACUUUCCAGAGAUGGAUUGGUGCCUUCGGGAACUGUGAGACAGGUGCUGCAUGGCUGUCGUCAGCUCGUGUUGUGAAAUGUUGGGUUAAGUCCCGCAACGAGCGCAACCCUUAUCCUUUGUUGCCAGCGGUUAGGCCGGGAACUCAAAGGAGACUGCCAGUGAUAAACUGGAGGAAGGUGGGGAUGACGUCAAGUCAUCAUGGCCCUUACGACCAGGGCUACACACGUGCUACAAUGGCAUAUACAAAGAGAAGCGACCUCGCGAGAGCAAGCGGACCUCAUAAAGUAUGUCGUAGUCCGGAUUGGAGUCUGCAACUCGACUCCAUGAAGUCGGAAUCGCUAGUAAUCGUAGAUCAGAAUGCUACGGUGAAUACGUUCCCGGGCCUUGUACACACCGCCCGUCACACCAUGGGAGUGGGUUGCAAAAGAAGUAGGUAGCUUAACCUUCGGGAGGGCGCUUACCACUUUGUGAUUCAUGACUGGGGUGAAGUCGUAACAAGGUAACCGUAGGGGAACCUGCGGUUGGAUCACCUCCUUA
This 1539-nucleotide ribosomal RNA is filed under the name Klebsiella pneumoniae. Its description in RNAcentral is "bacterial SSU rRNA". It matches the Rfam family "Bacterial small subunit ribosomal RNA". Lineage: Bacteria; Pseudomonadati; Pseudomonadota; Gammaproteobacteria; Enterobacterales; Enterobacteriaceae. The record is from RNAcentral.